UCUCGCUCACCUCUCACCUCUCGUCCCUCUCCCACCAACCCGCCCACCCUCUCUGAAACUUUCCCCUCUCUCGCUCGUCUCGCCCUCUCCCCUGCACCACUCAUCGUCGCCACCUAUGGCGCCCGAUGUCGCCCAAUUCUGGCACCAUCCGAUGGUGCCCAGCCCACCCACAGCUUCCUCUCGCUAUGCUCUUUAUUAUCCACCGCAUCGAUUUGAUUUACCCCGUAUCAUGUGGUCGCCGACAUCACUUCCACUUUCUAGGGUUUUGGUGGUGGGGUGGACCUCAUCGUCUAUCUCCUGCUCGACCUCGUGGCGGUGGUGAUAGCACGUGUGAGAUGCUCCUCCCCGACAAGGUCGUAGCUGGAUCCCCUUCUUUCCACCGCAGGAUCCGCUCCUCUCCCACGAGGCCGCUGCCGGAUCCCCUCCUCUCCGACAGCAACGCCUACAAAUCCGCUCGUCCUCGACAACAGCAGCCAACUUCGAAGUGGCCGAUCCUCUCCCCAUCGCCGCCGCCCAUGAGGAUCCAGGUCGCCCACGCCGCUUCCCAUCUCUCGCCGCUCUAGAUCUAUGUCGUGUUGGCAGAACGAACUCCCCAAAGCGCUCUUCAUGGUGCUCAUGCUCAUCAUGCCUGCCAUCCCGCAGGACGACGACUACCACGACUUCGCUGACUUGCGGUCCCUCCUCCUCGACGCAAUUAGAGCUUGAUGUGGGAGAUUGGGGAACAGGUGAAGCGUUGGUUUGGCCGAGUUAUGUUCUGUUGGCGUGCUUUUUGGUUACUGCUACACCAAGCAAAUGUUUCCGAUUGGUCAGCAAUGGGAGACUCUUCCAUUGAGGAGACCGAGGAUCUGGCUGGAUUUGUGCGUCUCCGAUCUGAUGCGUUUGUGCACGCAUGUGUUGAAUAGUGUCCUCGGAUCUGGUGUAGGGCGCCAAGGAGAAGAAGCUCAAGGUCAAGGGCUCUGUCAGGAUGGCCACCAAGGUGCUCAACAUCACCACCAGGAAGUCCCCAUAUGGAGAAGGUAGCCACCUCCCUCUGUUUUCCCUUCCACUCGAUCCCAUUUGCUUGGUAGCUCUGCAUAGAAUCUAGUCCAUCUAGUCCUUGACAUGCUCACAGUAGCUCGUCGGUGAUGUGGGUCGCUAUGUUUUUUUGGAUACCUGACUGUUUAGGGAAUUUCUGUGACGAUGAUGAUGUCGUAUUGAGCAAAGGAUGUGAAACAUUUAGACGGCUGCGGCCUUUUCGAUCUUUGAUGAUCUAAAAUCGAGCUAUUUAAAACUGAUGCCUAGCAUGCCAUCAAUGUGUUUUUAUUCCUCAUCUAGAGAUGCAACUCUGUGUGUUGGUGUGAUAUAAUGUAGAGGAGUUGGAUGUGAAUCAUUUGUGAGCUGAGCAUAUGAUGUUACAGGGAGAUGCUACUGAGAUUUUACGUCGUUGAAGUAUCUUAAACCGAGCUUCUUAAAACUGAUCUUGGUUGAUCUAGUUCUAGUAUAUUAGUUGGGUGAGAGUCUAUUGUUGUUGGUGUUGUGUAGUCAUUUCUUUUUACGUCGUUGAAGAAUAAAAAAGAUGAGCAUUUCUCCAGCCAAUGUCUGAAGUAGUUGUUGUCGUGUAGUCAGAUGAACUUAUGCAUUUCAUUAGAAGUCUGAUAUAGAUUGGACUAUACUUCUGAAUAGAAUGAAACAUUUCACUUUCGUUUAUAUUUCUUCAAUUCUUUUGAUCGAACAACUCUCUUGAACACAUGUACGUUAGUGCAGUGAUGGCUAAACAACUACAGUAGAUCGACAUUUUUGUAUUUCUCAACCUUGGGUAUUUUGCCAAAAAUAAACCCUUAGAUUUGUUGUCAUUCCUUUGAUAAUAAUUUGUUGUGUCUGUUAAGUAUUUUUUAGGAGUAAUAAACCUGGCUCUUUCAUGUUGCAACCCAACAGCUGCACCCAUGUUUUUCUGCGUACUACACAUAUUUGCUCCACUGCUCUUAGUUUUAACUAGCCAAGGCAAGGAUGACGCCCACCAUCGCUGUUAGAUUUAUUAUCCAUGUUGGACUUUUUUCGUUUAUGCUUGCCCACAAUUUAAAUGUCUUCUCAUGGCAUUAUUUAUCGAACAAGGGAUUGCUACCUGUCCCCAACUUGAUUGAGUUAGGCUUCGGUUUGCAUGUCUCUUUCAGCUUGCAGGAUUAGUGUUACUGCAAGUAAUCCACUUUUUUUGUAAUGGAUGGUGGUGACAUUAUUUAAGCCAUUGUAGAGUUUUUGAUAGGGUUAAACAUUUGGAAAGAUAGAUCCAUUUAACCUUGCAGUACCAGUGUCUGCAAGCAUUGGCUAUUGUUAGUAAAAUGUUGAGCUCUUCCUUUA
Molecule: RNA transcript, 2334 nt
Organism: Triticum dicoccoides
Lineage: Eukaryota; Viridiplantae; Streptophyta; Magnoliopsida; Poales; Poaceae
Exons: 3
Source: RefSeq, a predicted model, not a curated record